UCUUUCAGCUGAUGAUAAACCGAAAUCAUGCAUAGUUCACACUGAAACUACCGUGUUGAAAAACAUUCAUCUAACGUCUUUCGCUCCUAUCUGAUCUUCACCU
Molecule: non-coding RNA, 103 nt
Organism: Moniliophthora perniciosa FA553
Lineage: Eukaryota; Fungi; Basidiomycota; Agaricomycetes; Agaricales; Marasmiaceae
Source: Rfam